This is a long non-coding RNA of Nomascus leucogenys (northern white-cheeked gibbon), 2329 nucleotides long. RefSeq lists it as uncharacterized. The transcript is spliced from 5 exons. The record is from RefSeq and is a predicted model, not a curated record. NCBI's taxonomy places the organism in Eukaryota, Metazoa, Chordata, Mammalia, Primates, Hylobatidae.
UGGAAAUUAAAAUUAAUAUAAAAAUAAAAUGCUUAAAAUAAAAAGCAUGGUGUAAUAUUGAAAUGGAUUGUUUAUAUAACCAAAUAAAGUUAACUUGGGGAAUUAUAGUAGUCUUCAUUGAAGGAUUAGAACUAUUAAAUAUAACAUCUUGACAAUAUAGAGAUUAUAUUAAGGAUCCACAAAACUGAUGUUUAUGUUGCAAGAUAAUCUUGGUAGCACUUCUCAUAAGUUCAGCAUGUUUUAUAUUCAUUGAGCUAAAUUUGAUAAUUUCAUAAUAAAAUGAAGCCAAGAAAAUUAUGAAGAAAUAGAAUUUAGAUAUCCAAGCUAUGCGUCUUGCAUUUUCUUUAAAUGUUUUGUUCACAACCUUGUCAUUAUUAGAGCUUUCAUUUUCACUUUGUGACUAAUCCUGACUUCUCUUUAAUUUAUUUAUUAUUUAUUUAGCUUUCUCACUACUUCUGUUUUACCAUCUGUUUAAACUAGAAUAUGUUUAGAUUUAAUAUUCAUCGGUGAUACAUUUUCCUGCAGAUAAAAUAAACUACUACAAGCUCCUAAAAUGUCAUGUGUUUUACUGGUCAAUAAAAUCUAACCCAGAAUUUUGAGAGAAACCAUUUACUUCAGUCUAAAGUUUUAUGCAGAAACUGAUCAUCCCCACCGUUUCCUUGAAUAAAGAAGCUGUCAAUUACCAUGCAUUAAUAAGUGAGGCUCACACCUUAUAGUAACAACAAAAUUAGAAGAGAAAUAAUAUGUAUGUCUAGUGCAAUGUGAUAUGCAGAAGAAAAAUUUAAAUUCUUUAAUUGUAAAGGAAAAAAGCCAAUAUGACGAUGUUAUUGCCAACGUGCACUUUCUGUCUGCUGAGCGAUGAAAUUAACAAGUAAAGCCAUUGGAAUAGUCAAUAAAAUCAUUUGGCUUUGGAAAGAACAGUGGUAUUUUGUUCAAUAGUUUUGUUUUCUUUAGGUUGAGGCAGCAAUUAUGCCAUCGUCAUCACUUUCCAUCUUUUAGAAGGAUAUUGGUUAAAUUUUGAGUUAAUGAUUUUUUUUUUCUCCCCCAGAUUCCUUUCUAGCCCCUAACAUUACUAUAGUCUUAAACUAUCCUCUGUUUGCCAUACAAAAUGGCUUCUCAUAGGACAACACCAAUGUCAGGGUAGGAGUUGAGGAAGAAAAAGUAAAUAAAAAUACACAAAAUCCAAACUUUGUUAUAUGUUUCAUUCAGUGGCCUUAUACAUGAUUUACAAAUUUUGUUUGCAGUUUAAUUAUAAUUAACCACUAUUUAAAUCAAAUUCACUCCUGGCUGUAUUUCCUGAUUCAGAGUUCCAUAUUGCUUCUAUUGCUGGUUUUAAUUUAUUUGAACCUCAAUCUUCUAAAUUGUCUCUAUUUCCUAUCCAUUUUUUUUUCAUUUGCCUAGAGGUACUUGAAAAUGCAUUCAGAAAAAAAAAAUUCUUACUCACCAUUUUGUACAACUCUUCAAAACUCUAGGAUAUGCUACAUAAUCCACAUAAUAAAAGUAGUAAUUUCAACAGAAAAUCAAGAUGCCACUCGAUUUUGCCAUGGAUUUAUAAAAAUGACACAUCAGACAACAGAAGCAUAUGAGAAAAAUUUGCUGGGUAUCUACUCACUUCAAUUCAAACAUUUGAAGAAAUUAUGAAAAUUCCAAUGAGUUUUUAAAGUCUGUGCUUGCUCUGGUGUAGUGUAGCCAUGCAUUGAUCUAUCAUCACACAGAGUCUUACACUGUCACCUAGGCUGGAGUGCAGUGGCAUGAUCGAGGCUCAUUGUAAUCACGCCUCCCAGGAACAAGUGAUUCUUGCACCUCAGACUCUGGAGUAGCCGAGACCACAGUUCCUGAAACUGAGUAUGUUGCAUCUUUCUUGUACCACACAGUCUGUGCUGGACUCAGCAACUGAUUCUUCUGCUUGUCUUGCUGCUGGUCACUUCUGUUGGUGAAUUCAACUGGUAACUCUGCUGUGGGCAGGUCGGGAAGUUGAGAGAGCUAGGCAUCUUUCUUUUUCCAUGUAGUCACAUGUCCUCUCAUUCUGCUUGGUGCUUCUCACAUGCCCUUUCCAGAAGCAUAGCUGUAUUUCUGCCUGGAGGCUCAGGGCUCCUAUGAGUGCAAAAGUGAAAACUUCCAGACCUUUUAAAGCUUGGGCCUGGAACUGGCACUCUGACAUGUUCUUUUGAUUAAGCACGUCAUUGGUCCAGCCCAGAUUCGAUGGGGAAGAAUUAUACAAGGGGAUGAAUACCAGUAAACUUGUUCACUGGGGGCCAUGAACGGAACAGACUGCCAGAAGGCUUAAUCACUACUUACUGAGUUGGCUGCGAGAAAUAGAGAACAAUGU